This 291-nucleotide ribosomal RNA is filed under the name uncultured Methylophilaceae bacterium. Its description in RNAcentral is "partial 16S ribosomal RNA". It matches the Rfam family "Bacterial small subunit ribosomal RNA", at positions 505 to 796 of the family's 1533-position model. The record is from RNAcentral. Lineage: Bacteria; Pseudomonadati; Pseudomonadota; Betaproteobacteria; Nitrosomonadales; Methylophilaceae.
GUGUCAGCCGCCGCGGUAAUACGUAGGGUGCGAGCGUUAAUCGGAAUUACUGGGCGUAAAGCGUGCGCAGGCGGUUUUGUAAGUCAGAUGUGAAAUCCCCGAGCUCAACUUGGGAACUGCGUUUGAAACUACAAGGCUAGAGUAUGGUAGAGGGGGGUAGAAUUCCACGUGUAGCAGUGAAAUGCGUAGAGAUGUGGAGGAAUACCGAUGGCGAAGGCAGCCCCCUGGGAUAACACUGACGCUCAUGCACGAAGCGUGGGGAGCAGACAGGAUUAGAAACCCUAGUAGUCC